Molecule: transfer RNA, 67 nt
Filed under: Trinickia terrae
Lineage: Bacteria; Pseudomonadati; Pseudomonadota; Betaproteobacteria; Burkholderiales; Burkholderiaceae
Description: Trinickia sp. 7GSK02 tRNA-Arg
Source: RNAcentral
GCUACUGUUGAGGCAUACUGCCCUCCGAAGGCAGGGGUUGCUGGUUCGAUCCCAGCCGGGCGCGCCA